AUGGAUCUAUUUGGCUGUAUGAAUGUGAAAGGACGAAGUGGUACGAAAUCACAAAGUGUGAAAUUUUUCAUUCUAGGGGAGGAAUUCAAUGAUGAUGCAAAGAAAGUGGAGGUCUACAAAAAAUCUAUCGACCUGAUAAAACAUGGCAGCCCUCGAGGUGUCAUAACACCUAUUUUUGUAACAUACUGUUCAAGAUUCAGUCGUAUGAUUGUUUGCUACCCUUACUUUGAUGAAUCUCUUUCUGACUGGUUGAAGAGAUAUAAAGGUGGUUCGUCUAACCUUCCAUAUGAGAUCAGAAUCAUGAUAAGGAAUCUGUUGGCUGCGAUAGAGCAUCAGGAUAUAAACAGAUUAGAAGAUAUUAGUCCAAUUGUCUGUGUUAAAAGCAAAAGGGAUAACACGAUGGAAGUCAAGGUCAUCUUGCUUCCAGUCCAAAGUGAACAAUCAAGCAAGGCCAAAUGGCGCACAAGUUUCUCUUCAUUAUUGAGGAAGAACAUGCAUCAAACUUGGUUGGAGGAUAAAGACUUUGAAGCUUUUCUGUUAAUGCUAGAAAGCAACGAAUACACGCUUGAGAAUUUGAUGGGACACCCGGUCUUGCAAGAUGGCGAUAGUAAUGGUCGCCUCAUUCUUGAUUGUUUUCGUGAAACAUUGACUCCCGCACAGCAUAAAGAAUUGGAAGAAAAACUUAAUGUCCAGAAAUAUGAUGGUGGUGAUUGGCGGCUGCGUUUGCAAGGGAAAACUCCUUUAGAAAAUAUGAGUAAACGCAGUACAGCAUAUCCAGGGCAUGACUUUCUAUGGUUUGCGAGAAAGACCGUUGCUCAUUUCAAUGAAAAUGAUGCAAAGUUUAAAAAUGCUACUGUAAAUCGAGUGCCCGCAGCCAACGUCAUUAAGGAUUUGUAUCCAGGAUUCAUAUCAGAUUUGUACAAGUUGUCUUUAGAACCUCAGUAUCUUAACAGGGCUUUAGGGUGA
RNAcentral lists this ribosomal RNA (966 nucleotides) under Triticum aestivum (bread wheat). RNAcentral describes it as "partial small subunit ribosomal RNA". Lineage: Eukaryota; Viridiplantae; Streptophyta; Magnoliopsida; Poales; Poaceae. The record is from RNAcentral.